GAUGAACGCUGGCGGCGUGCCUAACACAUGCAAGUCGAGCGGCAGCGCGGGGUGCUUGCACCCUGUCGGCGAGCGGCGGACGGCUGAGUAGCGCGUGGGAACGUGCCCCAAAGUGAGGAAUAACUGCCCGAAAGGGUAGCUAAUACCGCAUAUUAUCUUCGGAUCAAAGGAUUUAUCCGCUUUGGGAGCGGCUCGCGUCGGAUUAGGUAGUUGGUGAGGUAAUGGCUCACCAAGCCGACGAUCCGUAGCUGGUCUGAGAGGAUGACCAGCCAGACUGGAACUGAGACACGGUCCAGACUGCUACGGGAGGCAGCAGUGAGGAAUCUUACACAAGGGGCGAAAGCCUGAUGGAGCAACGCCGCGUGCAGGACGAAGGCCUUCGGGUUGUAAACUGCUUUUAUAAGUGAGGAAUAUGACGGUAACUUAUGAAUAAGGAUCGGCUAACUACGUG
Molecule: ribosomal RNA, 451 nt
Filed under: uncultured bacterium
Lineage: Bacteria
Description: partial 16S ribosomal RNA
Rfam family: Bacterial small subunit ribosomal RNA
Source: RNAcentral